This 446-nucleotide ribosomal RNA is filed under the name uncultured bacterium. RNAcentral's name for it is "partial 16S ribosomal RNA". It matches the Rfam family "Bacterial small subunit ribosomal RNA", at positions 329 to 792 of the family's 1533-position model. The record is from RNAcentral.
UGCCAGACUCCUACGGGAGGCAGCAGUGGGGGAUAUUGCACAAUGGGGGGAACCCUGAUGCAGCGACGCCGCGUGGGUGAAGAAGCGCCUCGGCGCGUAAAGCCCUGUCAGCAGGGAAGAAAAUGACGGUACCUGAAGAAGAAGCCCCGGCUAACUACGUGCCAGCAGCCGCGGUAAUACGUAGGUGGCAAGCGUUAUCCGGAUUUACUGGGUGUAAAGGGCGUGUAGGCGGGAAAGCAAGUCAGAUGUGAAAACCAUGGGCUCAACCUGUGGCCUGCAUUUGAAACUGUUUUUCUUGAGUACUGGAGAGGCAGACGGAAUUCCUAGUGUAGCGGUGAAAUGCGUAGAUAUUAGGAGGAACACCGGUGGCGAAGGCGGCCUGCUGGACUGCAACUGACGUUGAGGCCCGAAAGCGUGGGGAGCAAACAGGAUUAGAUACCCGAGUA